RNAcentral lists this ribosomal RNA (492 nucleotides) under uncultured bacterium. RNAcentral's name for it is "partial 16S ribosomal RNA". It matches the Rfam family "Bacterial small subunit ribosomal RNA", at positions 29 to 507 of the family's 1533-position model. The record is from RNAcentral.
AGUGAACGCUGGCGGUAGGCCUAACACAUGCAAGUCGAACGGCAGCACAGUAGGAGCUUGCUCUUACGGGUGGCGAGUGGCGGACGGGUGAGGAUUACAUCGGAAUCUACUUUUUCGUGGGGGAUAACGUAGGGAAACUUACGCUAAUACCGCAUACGACCUACGGGUGAAAGCAGGGGAUCUUCGGACCUUGCGCGAUUGAAUGAGCCGAUGUCGGAUUAGCUAGUUGGCGGGGUAAAGGCCCACCAAGGCGACGAUCCGUAGCUGGUCUGAGAGGAUGAUCAGCCACACUGGAACUGAGACACGGUCCAGACUCCUACGGGAGGCAGCAGUGGGGAAUAUUGGACAAUGGGCGCAAGCCUGAUCCAGCCAUACCGCGUGGGUGAAGAAGGCCUUCGGGUUGUAAAGCCCUUUUGUUGGGAAAGAAAAGCAGCAGGUUAAUACCCCGCUGUUCUGACGGUACCCAAAGAAUAAGCACCGGCUAACUUCGUG